CCGGGGAAGAACAGCUCGGGAGGAGGCUCCGCACCGCCCCCCUGCCCGCCUGCUCGCCCGCCCUCGGGCCUGGGGCCGGGCCCGGAGCGCCGCCCAGCCAGGAUCCCUCAGCCCCAGGCCCGGGGCAGGGGCGAGGCCGGCCAGCUUUUAUAAGUGAAGCCGUGGAUGGAUCAACUAUUCUUCAAAUUUUUCCAGUUUCUAUUGGACAGGUUCUGAUUGGAUAAAUUUGAUCCCAGAUACAAUGUCUGCGGCUUGCAGUACAGAAAAGAAUCAUAUGAAACUUUACAAAUUAAUAUGAACUUGGAAUUUACCAUUAUGGUCAAAGAAAGAUGUCUGAUGAAUGGAUGAACAGUCUCAGAGCUGUACUGUAAUGAUGGGGUCAUUUCAUGGUAAUGGAUAGGUAUGUCAUCAGUAUGAGAGAGGAGCACACUGACAACAUGGUGAUUCAGCAGCAGAGAAUACUGAGUAUCAGUGGAAGAAGAUUUUCCUAAAUUCAGGGUAUGUGGCAGCAGAGAAGGUUUGUCCCUUGGCCCUUUGCUGGAUAUGAGAAAGGGGAACACAAGAAAAGAUCAGGAUGGAUUUUUGAUAUCCACAAAAUUUGACAUAUCAGAUUGAUAAAAAUAGCACAGCAGAGAACAUCCAAUACAGAAUCAGAUUUACCACAAAUCAAAACUGAAGUGUGAGUUUAUUUCAAAUUCAGAAGAUCCUUACAGCAGUGAGGCUGCUGUCAGCUAUGAAUUAAAGUUCUACUUUGGAAAUCACAUGCUGGCUGAGGGAAUAGUUAUCUUUUGUAGGAACACAAACUUCCAAGCUUAUGGGCAGAGUAAUAUUAACUGGAGACACAGACAUUCCAAGAAGCCAAGUUAAACAUCUUAAAUCAGCAUUAAGGUUGGUUUUGGUGCAGAGGGAAAGACUCUGCAGGCCCCAGAAGGAAGCAGCAGUGGAAUUAGGAGUGACUGAGAUACAAAACUGGCCCUGACUUUUUGCUCUUUCUUGCGAAGCAUGUAAGAUUAGGUGUUUAAUAAGCACUGCAGUAAUCUGUUGAAGGCUAGUUCUCCCUCCCCUCUUUGAAACAAAAUGAAGGACAAAUGAGGCUGGGGAUGCCACUGGUUCAGGAAUGGGAUGAAUCACAAUGAGAGCCACCUUCGGGCAGGAAAACCUUACUCCCCUCGGGGAAACGUUUCUCCCUUCUCAUUGCUUCUAUUCCCCGGGAAGCUCACAGUGGGACACCUCCAGACAACGGCCUCCUGAAGCAUUGUGCCCUAAUGGGAGGCGGUUGAAUGAGAUGGCGGGGAGGUAUCUCAAAACAAUGGGCGUAGGAAGGCACCCAUCUCCUUCUGGAAUUCGACGACCAAGCAGGAAGAAGUGGAGACCUCGUCUGUAAUCUUGAUCGGGCCGGCAGUGUGAGCUGACAAGGAUGCCUACAGCAAUGUAAUGAAGCCCUAUUCUUAGAAUUCAGUAACGGGUAAACGUCAUCAGUAAUUUUCCAAUUAUAUUUUAAUGCCCAUUUUUUGAGCAUGAAAUUUCUUCAGAUCGACAAGUUUCUAUGUAACCACAGAAAAAUUUCCCAGUGGAAUUACCUCGAGGA
Molecule: long non-coding RNA, 1588 nt
Organism: Pezoporus occidentalis (night parrot)
Lineage: Eukaryota; Metazoa; Chordata; Aves; Psittaciformes; Psittacidae
Exons: 8
Source: RefSeq, a predicted model, not a curated record